Molecule: ribosomal RNA, 554 nt
Filed under: Amolops marmoratus (marbled sucker frog)
Lineage: Eukaryota; Metazoa; Chordata; Amphibia; Anura; Ranidae
Description: partial 16S ribosomal RNA
Rfam family: Bacterial large subunit ribosomal RNA
Source: RNAcentral
CGCCUCCUGACAAAUAUAGGAGGUCCAGCCUGCCCAGUGACAAAGUUCAACGGCCGCGGUACCCUAACCGUGCGAAGGUAGCAUAAUCACUUGUUCUUUAAAUGAGGACUAGUAUCAACGGCACCACGAGGACUCUACUGUCUCCUCCCUCCAAUCAGUGAAACUGAUCCCCCCGUGAAGAAGCGGGGAUUAUUCUAUAAGACGAGAAGACCCCAUGGAGCUUUAAACCCAAUAGGCAUCUCUGCAAACUUAAACCACCUUAGCCUUAGAGAUAUGCACUAUUAGUUUUAGGCUGGGGUGACCGCGGAGUAAAACUAAACCUCCACGACAAACGGGCUAACGCCCUGAUCUACGAACCACACUUCUAAGAACCAAUAUAUUGUUGUCCAAUGACCCAAUUAUAUGAUCAACGAACCAAGUUACCCUGGGGAUAACAGCGCAAUCUACUUCAAGAGCCCCUAUCGACAAGUAGGUUUACGACCUCGAUGUUGGAUCAGGGUAUCCCAGUGGCGCAACCGCUACUAAAGGUUCGUUUGUUCAACGACUAAGACCCU